GACGAACGCUGGCGGCGUGCUUAACACAUGCAAGUCGAACGGAAAGGCCCUGCUUUUGUGGGGUGCUCGAGUGGCGAACGGGUGAGUAACACGUGAGUAACCUGCCCUUGACUUUGGGAUAACUUCAGGAAACUGGGGCUAAUACCGGAUAGGAGCUCCUGCUGCAUGGUGGGGGUUGGAAAGUUUCGGCGGUUGGGGAUGGACUCGCGGCUUAUCAGCUUGUUGGUGGGGUAGUGGCUUACCAAGGCUUUGACGGGUAGCCGGCCUGAGAGGGUGACCGGCCACAUUGGGACUGAGAUACGGCCCAGACUCCUACGGGAGGCAGCAGUGGGGAAUAUUGCACAAUGGGCGGAAGCCUGAUGCAGCAACGCCGCGUGCGGGAUGACGGCCUUCGGGUUGUAAACCGCUUUCGCCUGUGACGAAGCGUGAGUGACGGUAAUGGGUAAAGAAGCACCGGCUAACUACGUGCCAGCAGCCGCGGUGAUACGUAGGGUGCGAGCGUUGUCCGGAUUUAUUGGGCGUAAAGGGCUCGUAGGUGGUUGAUCGCGUCGGAAGUGUAAUCUUGGGGCUUAACCCUGAGCGUGCUUUCGAUACGGGUUGACUUGAGGAAGGUAGGGGAGAAUGGAAUUCCUGGUGGAGCGGUGGAAUGCGCAGAUAUCAGGAGGAACACCAGUGGCGAAGGCGGUUCUCUGGGCCUUUCCUGACGCUGAGGAGCGAAAGCGUGGGGAGCGAACAGGCUUAGAUACCCUGGUAGUCCACGCUGUAAACGGUGGGUACUAGGUGUGGGGUCCAUUCCACGGGUUCCGUGCCGUAGCUAACGCUUUAAGUACCCCGCCUGGGGAGUACGGCCGCGAGGCUAAAACUCAAAGGAAUUGACGGGGCCCCGCACAAGCGGCGGAGCAUGCGGAUUAAUUCGAUGCAACGCGUAGAACCUUACCUGGGUUUGACAUGGAUCGGGAGCGCUCAGAGAUGGGUGUGCCUCUUUUGGGGUCGGUUCACAGGUGGUGCAUGGCUGUCGUCAGCUCGUGUCGUGAGAUGUUGGGUUAAGUCCCGCAACGAGCGCAACCCUUGUUCACUGUUGCCAGCACGUUAUGGUGGGGACUCAGUGGAGACCGCCGGGGUCAACUCGGAGGAAGGUGGGGAUGACGUCAAGUCAUCAUGCCCCUUAUGUCCAGGGCUUCACGCAUGCUACAAUGGCUGGUACAGAGAGUGGCGAGCCUGUGAGGGUGAGCGAAUCUCGGAAAGCCGGUCUCAGUUCGGAUUGGGGUCUGCAACUCGACCUCAUGAAGUCGGAGUCGCUAGUAAUCGCAGAUCAGCAACGCUGCGGUGAAUACGUUCCCGGG
This 1343-nucleotide ribosomal RNA is filed under the name uncultured bacterium. RNAcentral describes it as "16S ribosomal RNA". It matches the Rfam family "Bacterial small subunit ribosomal RNA", at positions 28 to 1378 of the family's 1533-position model. The record is from RNAcentral.